AACCCGACUGCGUGAAGUCGGAAUCGCUAGUAAUCGCGGAUCAGAAUGCCGCGGUGAAUACGUUCCCGGGUCUUGUACACACCGCCCGUCACACCAUGGGAGCCGGUAACGCCCGAAGUCAGUGACCCAACCGAGAGGAGGGAGCUGCCGAAGGCGGGACAGGUAACUGGGGUGAAGUCGUAACAAGGUAUC
Molecule: ribosomal RNA, 192 nt
Filed under: uncultured bacterium
Lineage: Bacteria
Description: partial 16S ribosomal RNA
Rfam family: Bacterial small subunit ribosomal RNA
Source: RNAcentral